Molecule: long non-coding RNA, 458 nt
Filed under: Homo sapiens (human)
Lineage: Eukaryota; Metazoa; Chordata; Mammalia; Primates; Hominidae
Description: non-protein coding LINC02102:17
Source: RNAcentral
GGGAGAGGGAGGGAGGAGGAGGGGAAGGAAAGGAAAGGAAAGGAAAAAGGAAAGGAAAAAGAAAAGGAAAGGGGCAGCCUGCCUAGCAUUGCGGAAGAUCCCAUGCGCCUCUCUGGAAGCUGGGAAGUAAUCAUCAUGUGUCAAAGAGCAUGCUGGCCCAGGGCGUGCUUUGUUUGGCCCACUCCAUGUUUUUUUAAUGUUUAAAUGUUAAUCUCUUUAUUAGUUAGCUCUUGCUCAUUUAUGCUGCAGUAACAGACAUCCCCAGGACCUCAGCGUUUCAUAGGAACGACAUGGCACACAUUGGUGGUGGCUGUCCUCCCAGGCAGUACCCCACAUCUUGUCUUCCGUGUUUGGGCACCCAGGCUGGAGUAGCAACCCAUCUCAGUCAAUGGCAAAGGAAGCAUCCCCGGUGGACUAGAGGCUUUGUCCCAGCAGAAGCGUUGCCACCCCCCCGGAAU